This 255-nucleotide ribosomal RNA is filed under the name uncultured bacterium. RNAcentral's name for it is "partial 16S ribosomal RNA". It matches the Rfam family "Bacterial small subunit ribosomal RNA", at positions 524 to 776 of the family's 1533-position model. The record is from RNAcentral.
UACGUAGGGUGCAAGCGUUGUCCGGAAUUAUUGGGCGUAAAGAGCUCGUAGGCGGUCUGUCGCGUCGGCUGUGAAAACUCGGGGCUCAACCCCGAGCCUGCAGUCGAUACGGGCAGACUAGAGUGCGGUAGGGGGAGGACUGGAAUUCCUGGUGUAGCGGUGAAAUGCGCAGAUAUCAGGAGGAACACCGGUGGCGAAGGCGGGUCUCUGGGCCGUAACUGACGCUGAGGAGCGAAAGCGUGGGGAGCAAACAGG